RNAcentral lists this ribosomal RNA (447 nucleotides) under uncultured Microbacterium sp. RNAcentral's name for it is "bacterial SSU rRNA". It matches the Rfam family "Bacterial small subunit ribosomal RNA", at positions 40 to 496 of the family's 1533-position model. The record is from RNAcentral. Lineage: Bacteria; Bacillati; Actinomycetota; Actinomycetes; Micrococcales; Microbacteriaceae.
CGGCGUGCUUAACACAUGCAAGUCGAACGAUGAAGGUGGGAGCUUGCUCCUACUGGAUUAGUGGCGAACGGGUGAGUAACACGUGAGCAAUCUGCCCCUGACUCUGGGAUAAGCGUUGGAAACGACGUCUAAUACCGGAUACGAGCUGGGACCGCAUGGUCACCAGCUGGAAAGAACUUUGGUCAGGGAUGAGCUCGCGGCCUAUCAGCUUGUUGGUGAGGUAAUGGCUCACCAAGGCGACGACGGGUAGCCGGCCUGAGAGGGUGACCGGCCACACUGGGACUGAGACACGGCCCAGACUCCUACGGGAGGCAGCAGUGGGGAAUAUUGCACAAUGGGCGCAAGCCUGAUGCAGCAACGCCGCGUGAGGGACGAAGGCCUUCGGGUUGUAAACCUCUUUUAGCAGGGAAGAAGCGAAAGUGACGGUACCUGCAGAAAAAGCGCCGG